CAGUCAUGCUGCUGAGACUCAACCUUGGUUUUCCUUGGUGUACUUCUCAGUUGGCAGGCCAGCAUCAGUUUUGGCUGUUGGAUAAGGGUAGGAGGAAUGUGGCAUCCUCGGAUGUGUUAUAGCCUCUUACUGGAUACAACGGCUGGGACUGAGGAACGCAGUGUGCCUUCGGGCGGACCUUCGGGUACCUUCACCACUUAGGAUGCUGGCGUAAUGGCUUUAAGCGACCCGUCUUGAGACUCGGACCAAGGAGUACUAACAUAUGUG
This 267-nucleotide ribosomal RNA is filed under the name Diversispora epigaea. Lineage: Eukaryota; Fungi; Glomeromycota; Glomeromycetes; Diversisporales; Diversisporaceae. The record is from RNAcentral.